AUGGGGAAUAUUCCGCAAUGGACGAAAGUCUGACGGAGCAACGCCGCGUGAGUGAUGAAGGUUUUCGGACUGUAAAGCUCUGUUGUUUAGGACGAAAGUGCCUGUUGCAAAUAGUUACAGGUAUUGACGGUACUGAACGAGGAAGCCACGGCUAACUACGUGCCAGCAGCCGCGGUAAUACGUAGGUGGCAAGCGUUGUCCGGAAUUAUUGGGCGUAAAGAGCAUGUAGGCGGGAAUCUAAGUCUGUUGUGAAAAUGCGGGGCUCAACCCCGUAUUGCGAUGGAAACUGGGUUUCUUGAGUGCAGGAGAGGAAAGGGGAAUUCCCAGUGUAGCGGUGAAAUGCGUAGAUAUUGGGAGGAACACCAGUGGCGAAGGCGCCUUUCUGGACUGUGUCUGACGCUGAGAUGUGAAAGCCAGGGUAGCGAACGGGAUUAGAUACCCUGGUAGUCC
Molecule: ribosomal RNA, 450 nt
Filed under: uncultured bacterium
Lineage: Bacteria
Description: partial 16S ribosomal RNA
Rfam family: Bacterial small subunit ribosomal RNA
Source: RNAcentral